GGACGGGUGAGUAACGCGUGAGCAACCUGUCCCAAUCUGGGGAAUAACGAGCCGAAAGGUUCACUAAUACCGCAUAAGACCACAGUGCCGCAUGGUACAGGGGUCAAAGGAGUAAUUCGGAUUGGGGUGGGCUCGCGUCUGAUUAGCUAGUUGGUGAGGUAAUGGCUCACCAAGGCGACGAUCAGUAGCCGACCUGAGAGGGUGAUCGGCCACACUGGAACUGAGACACGGUCCAGACUCCUACGGGAGGCAGCAGUGGGGAAUAUUGGGCAAUGGGCGAAAGCCUGACCCAGCAACGCCGCGUGAAGGAAGAAGGUUUUCGGAUCGUAAACUUCUAUCCUUGGUGAAGAUAAUGACGGUAGCCGAGAAGGAAGCCCCGGCUAACUACGUGCCAGCAGCCGCGGUAAUACGUAGGGGGCAAGCGUUGUCCGGAAUGAUUGGGCGUAAAG
RNAcentral lists this ribosomal RNA (449 nucleotides) under uncultured bacterium. RNAcentral describes it as "bacterial SSU rRNA". It matches the Rfam family "Bacterial small subunit ribosomal RNA", at positions 100 to 565 of the family's 1533-position model. The record is from RNAcentral.